CUGCUAUUGGGAUAGGACUAAGACAUGCUAGUCGAGCGCCUCUCAGCCACGACAGAGGCGCGGCACACAGCUCAGUAACACGUGGCUAACCUGCCCUUGGGACGGGACCACCCCCGGGAAACUGGGGCUAAUCCCCGAUAGGUGAAGAACUCUGGAAUGAGUCUCCGCCCAAAAGACGCUUACGUCAUGCUCGUAGACGCCGCCCAAGGAUGGGGCCGCGACCGAUCAGGUAGUUGGUGAGGCAAUGGCUCACCAAGCCUUUUACCGGUGCGGGCCGUGGGAGCGGGAGCCCGGAGAUGGGCACUGAGACAAGGGCCCAGGCCCUACGGGGCGCAGCAGUCGCGAAAACUUUGCAAUAAGCGAAAGCUUGACAGGGCUAUCCCGAGUGCCAUCCGCUGAGGAAGGCUUUUACCCAGUCUAGAACGCUGGGGGAAUAAGGAGAGGGCAAGUCUGGUGUCAGCCGCCGCGGUAAUACCAGCUCUCCGAGUGGUGUGGAUGUUUAUUGGGCCUAAAGCAUC
Molecule: ribosomal RNA, 518 nt
Filed under: uncultured methanogenic archaeon
Lineage: Archaea; Methanobacteriati; Methanobacteriota
Description: bacterial SSU rRNA
Rfam family: Archaeal small subunit ribosomal RNA
Source: RNAcentral